UUGUAUGGAACUACCUCUCGUAAACACAAACAAGUCGUUUCACGGAAGGAGACAGUUGUUGCCAAGGCGUUUAGAGACGACAAAAGGCGGCAGUGUCACCUUGACGGUCGGAGCGCUGCUGCCGACUCCGCUGACGUCGAAAUGUUCCCGCCGGCGACGGCGAAGUGCGAUCAGCAUUACACCGGUACGACGUUGGACGCCCGCCGUCGACGUCAGUGUCAGCCGCCUGCGCCGCCAGCGGCGCCGCAUAAAAGCUGCCGCCCGUCCUUUCAGCAGCAGUCGUCUCACGCAUCCGGAUUAACAUGAAGCUUCUCCUGGUCCUGUUAGUCGCAGCGGUGGCGUUUGCGGUGGCAGCCGCCAUGCCUCACGGAGGAGGUGGUGGACUGUUGUACCCGGGCGGUAUCUACCCUGGAGGCAUCUACCCGGGCGGUAUCUACCCUGGAGGGAUCUACCCUGGCGGCUACCCCAGCGGAAUCUACCCCGGCUUCUUCCCGGGAUAGGCAUCUGAUGCUGAUUUGAUUCAUCGUUGGGUUUCCUUGACGACACCUUACCAACAGUGUAGCCUCUGGUUUCAUUAAAAUAAAAUGCAGAAACACUUAA
This is a long non-coding RNA of Schistocerca nitens (vagrant locust), 600 nucleotides long. RefSeq lists it as uncharacterized. The transcript has 2 exons. NCBI's taxonomy places the organism in Eukaryota, Metazoa, Arthropoda, Insecta, Orthoptera, Acrididae. The record is from RefSeq and is a predicted model, not a curated record.